RNAcentral lists this ribosomal RNA (1308 nucleotides) under Klebsiella pneumoniae. RNAcentral describes it as "partial 23S ribosomal RNA". It matches the Rfam family "Bacterial large subunit ribosomal RNA", at positions 402 to 1715 of the family's 2925-position model. Lineage: Bacteria; Pseudomonadati; Pseudomonadota; Gammaproteobacteria; Enterobacterales; Enterobacteriaceae. The record is from RNAcentral.
AACUCGAAGAGUAGGGCGGGACACGUGGUAUCCUGUCUGAAUAUGGGGGGACCAUCCUCCAAGGCUAAAUACUCCUGACUGACCGAUAGUGAACCAGUACCGUGAGGGAAAGGCGAAAAGAACCCCGGCGAGGGGAGUGAAAAAGAACCUGAAACCGUGUACGUACAAGCAGUGGGAGCACCUUCGGGUGUGACUGCGUACCUUUUGUAUAAUGGGUCAGCGACUUAUAUUCUGUAGCAAGGUUAACCGUAUAGGGGAGCCGCAGGGAAACCGAGUCUUAACUGGGCGUUAAGUUGCAGGGUAUAGACCCGAAACCCGGUGAUCUAGCCAUGGGCAGGUUGAAGGUUGGGUAACACUAACUGGAGGACCGAACCGACUAAUGUUGAAAAAUUAGCGGAUGACUUGUGGCUGGGGGUGAAAGGCCAAUCAAACCGGGAGAUAGCUGGUUCUCCCCGAAAGCUAUUUAGGUAGCGCCUCGUGAACUCAUCUUCGGGGGUAGAGCACUGUUUCGGCUAGGGGGUCAUCCCGACUUACCAACCCGAUGCAAACUACGAAUACCGAAGAAUGUUAUCACGGGAGACACACGGCGGGUGCUAACGUCCGUCGUGAAGAGGGAAACAACCCAGACCGCCAGCUAAGGUCCCAAAGUCAUGGUUAAGUGGGAAACGAUGUGGGAAGGCACAGACAGCCAGGAUGUUGGCUUAGAAGCAGCCAUCAUUUAAAGAAAGCGUAAUAGCUCACUGGUCGAGUCGGCCUGCGCGGAAGAUGUAACGGGGCUAAACCAUGCACCGAAGCUGCGGCAGCGACACUAUGUGUUGUUGGGUAGGGGAGCGUUCUGUAAGCCUGCGAAGGUGUGCUGUGAGGCAUGCUGGAGGUAUCAGAAGUGCGAAUGCUGACAUAAGUAACGAUAAAGCGGGUGAAAAGCCCGCUCGCCGGAAGACCAAGGGUUCCUGUCCAACGUUAAUCGGGGCAGGGUGAGUCGACCCCUAAGGCGAGGCCGAAAGGCGUAGUCGAUGGGAAACAGGUUAAUAUUCCUGUACUUGGUGUUACUGCGAAGGGGGGACGGAGAAGGCUAUGUUAGCCGGGCGACGGUUGUCCCGGUUUAAGCAUGUAGGCUGGUUGUCCAGGCAAAUCCGGAUAAUCAAGGCUGAGGUGUGAUGACGAGGCACUACGGUGCUGAAGUAACAAAUGCCCUGCUUCCAGGAAAAGCCUCUAAGCAUCAGGUAACAUCAAAUCGUACCCCAAACCGACACAGGUGGUCAGGUAGAGAAUACCAAGGCGCUUGAGAGAACUCGGGUGAAGGAACUA